UGCCACUUCAUAGUUGUCUGAGCUUCUUGCUGUUAUUCUAAGGUUUCAUUUCCUCAUUAUAAAAUGGAAAAUAAUCCCCAUAUCAAUGGGUUGUGGCGAAGAUUCCAUGAGGUGAUUCCCUUAAGAUGUUUGACACAGAGAAGAUCUCCAACAACAAACUCCAGGGCCAUUUCUCUCCCUCCUCACUCAUCCUUGCUUCCUUUCUCCGCCCGACCUCAUGGCUGGCCAGGCAGGGCUGCCGUGAACAUCUAAAGAGUGGCCAGAUGAAAUAUUCCAACUGAGCUCCACUUCACAGGACUCUGCACUCCAUGGAUCAGCUGACACCACCCAGACCAGUAAUGUGGCUCAACCAAUUCUGCCAUUCCACCCAGGAACAUAGACAGCAAGAAAAACUCACUUCGACCCCUCUAUGAUUCCAUCUCCAACCUGACCAAUCAUCACUCCUCGCUUCCUGAGCCCCUACCUGCCAAAUUAUCUUUAAAAACUCUGAUCCCUGAAUGCUUCAGGAGACUGAUUUCAGUAAUAAUAAAACUCUCAUUCCU
This 542-nucleotide long non-coding RNA is filed under the name Homo sapiens (human). RNAcentral describes it as "HSALNT0377888". The record is from RNAcentral. Lineage: Eukaryota; Metazoa; Chordata; Mammalia; Primates; Hominidae.